AUGACUAAAGAGGCUGUGGCUCUUGAGUGAUUAGAGGAGGAGAUGGAUGGGGUGUAAGACUGAGGUUACAAAUCACAGAGGUGGAAGAUGAACUAAAUAUGUAACUGGGCUGUUAACUGGAUCCCUGAAGUACUGGCACUGGGUAUGCUCAGGGACACUGGUGGGAGACUGAAAUAAAAUGGAGAAAUGAAAGCACCUUUCUGAGCUGUGGGUGGGCAGCACCUGGUGUUCUUUGCUGUGGGAAUAUUGUGGAGGCAGACACGGUCAGCAGGUCCAGUGAGGAAGGGCAGUAGUCAAAUUCAGGGUCUGCAGGUGCACACACACCUGUCAAACAGGACAAGCAGGGCUGAGCACCCUCUGGCAUCUCUCACACGGUUCUCAUUGAUGGAGGGGCACGAGGAGGGUGGGUUGUAGAUAGUGGCAGCCAUAUCCCACCUCAGUGAGGUUGUUAAUCUGCACCCAUCAGGCAUUUUAUAUAUUCUUAAUUCAUAAUGUAGUAAAGGCAAUGAGGAGAUCUCAAUACCACUAGUCUAUAAAAUGUAGGCAAAAGGACACUUCAUUUAUUGCAUAUUCAGGUGUAAACAAAAAAAAUAGAAAUUGUCUGGAAUACUCCGAAUUCAUGGAAAUCACUGUGAGUGACACAGAGUUAAGUAGGUCAUCCAGCUCAGACAUGAGUCUGUCCACCAAUUAGGGGAACAUCAAGAGGAAUACUUGUCAGGCAAGCCCUGAACACAGGAAGAGAUUAAUUCUGUAUGUAAUUUGUUAAUCACAGUAUGACUUGGGUUGGUUUGCUUGUUUUCUGGCAGUGUUUCUCUUGACCAUGUAGAAGAAGGGAAUUGAUUCACCGUGUAUUUCUGUCACUUUCUUCAAGGGCAAAGACUUCAAAGGGGGAGCAGCCAAAGGUAACUUCCAUAAAUAUGAGUGCUUUUACUUCUGCUUCCUGAACCAUGACAAUUAACUCAGGAAAGGCUGGUGUGUUCAGCUCCUUCAAUACACAGAUUUUGGCUCACAAAAGAAAGCAAGUAUAUUCAUGAACUUCCUGCAUGUAAAUAUUUUCUUAAGUCUGUCUCUCCACUGGUCAUGUCUGCCAACUAUUGCUCUUUCUUGUUUUUGCCUGGCACUGUAGGGAGUAAUUUUUCUUUUGCUUUUAUAUUAGACCAGCUUGAGAACCCAGAGCCGAGCUCCAUGCUACUGAGAGACAAUGAACCAUGACCAGUGAAAUCUCCAGUAGCACACAUGAAGUCCUCAAUCCAAUGAUUGGAAAAUAUUUUGUAAUUACAAAACAGGAGUGAAACCUCCAGGGUGUGACAGUGUAUAUGGCUUUGUUUGAAUACACUAAAUUGUUCAGCUUUUUACCCUGAUAGAAAACCAGGCUUUCAAUAGUCAAAUUGUCAGGAGUUAUAGGGAUUUAUUGCUAUUUUCUUUAUGAUUCUAGAUGUCACAUUUAACGCGGCAAGUUAGAAAUGGCACUUCUAGCCACUGCAUGAAAGAGAGAUAUUUAGGGUGUCAAGAGGAGAGGCUGUUCUGCCUUUCAAGACAUCACCAGCUUCAAGCUCCUGUGCACAGAAUCUGUCUGCAUUGACAAGAAAGGGGACUGUAGCUGCAAAUAUAAACUGUGAGAGCAAGAGCAGAUUGAGCUGCUGACAUGCGAGCACUGGCUCUGCACCUGGGUUUUGGCAAUGGGAGUGGACUGUAACAACUGCUUCAUUAUUACAAAGAAACUGAAGAGAACAGAACAAACCCAAAAGAGGUUCCCUGACAAAUUCCCAGGAUGGCAGGAAGCCAACAUUCCUACUUUGAAAAUUCAUCAAAAAACCUUCAUUUCGGUCUCAGCCCAAAGGUCAUACAAUUUUUCAGCUAUAAACUGAGAAGAGCUUUGGAGAAGAGCAUGGAGACAGUCAUGGAUAAAUUGGGACUACAGCUCUGUGGCUCUACGCUCUGUGUAAAAUCCGUAAGUCAAAAAAAGCUUUGUGCAAUACAUCAGCUUGGCACAAAAGUAGAAGAACAGAUCAAAAUACGUGUGUGCCAGGUAGAAUCUGAGAAAACAUUCAUCUAAGUCCCAUCCACGUGGAUGUAUCGUCUGCAAUGCACUGCCUGAUGCACAAAACGAAACACAGGCAUCGCAAGAAACUCGCUGCAUGAACUUGUAUUAGGCCACUCAAGCAAAGUCAAAAUGUCUCACAAAAUCACAAAUACUGACUUUAUAUGUUUUUUAAAUCAAAUAUUUAUUAUUUAAAGAGCUACAAUUAUGUUACACAAAUUUCACGUUGAAUGUUGACAAGCAAAACUCCUUCCGUCAUUUUCUUUUGUUCUUAUAAUGGUGCUUAAUUUGAGCUUACACCAAACGUGCAGAGAUUUGGUUAUCUGAAAGACAGAAAGUUACUUGUUAAUUCCAUAUUUAUUUGUACAUUGGUCAUGUAAGAUUGUGAAAUAUUACAUUUUCUGAUUUGAAUUAGUUUGAUUUUUUUUUUCCCCUCACUGAACUCAGGAGCUGGAAAGACAGUUGAUAGCUGAGCAUGACACUGAGAGUUUCAAGUCUCCUUACUAAAAGCCCACCCAAAUAAUCAACAGAAAUAGACAAAAUACAAGACAAUAUUAGAGGAAAACACAAUGGAAAAAAUCAAAGUGAAGUAAAGGUUGCGGAGGCAGUACAAACUCCACAGUCUGAAUAUUAUACUGUGAGAGAAAGAAAAUAAAGGAAGUAGGAACCAGACAAGAAAAGCACCACACUCAAAAAGAAAGUGAAAAGGAGUGUGAAAAAAGAAAAGUCCAUUUUUUUAACGUGGGGAGGGAGGCAAGACUAUAUGCAAGGAAAUCCAAAUUGCCAGCGUGGAGACACUGCAUUUUGCUGAACUUUCUGACAUAAUUUGCUAAUCUGAAUUUACAGAUAUAGCUAGAACAAAAUACGAUUGUUUCUGCCUUUUCCUUUUUAGCCUGAUGCUCUUAUUCCUGAGAUUCACCCUUUAUGGGUCCUUGACAAAUGGCUGAAAAACCCAUCAGUGCCGUUCUUCACAAUCAGCCAAGUAGAGGCCACUGAACUGUUAGAGAAAACUACCUCAUGCAGUGACUAUGAAACACCCAAAACACUACAGACACAUAAAAUGCAGUACCUUGACUGAAUCUUCUGCACUUUCCCGUAGUACCCCACAGAAGUCAUUCAGGACACUCCGAAUUUCUGUGGUUUCCAAAUGCUCUUGACUGUCAUUUUUCUCUUCAGAUUUUCACUUUCAGGCUAAUUAACAUUCCAUAUGGCAUUUUCACACAAGUUCCAAGGCUGCUGUUUAGGUUUUGAUUACAUAAUCACAUUGAACGUGGUAGAUACAGUGUGAGUAUCUUCGCAUCCUGAAUACAGCCUUGAAAGAUGGAUCUUAUGGAUGGAUGGAUGCUGAGUCACCAUGUUCCUGGUGAGCAACCUCUGAGCAAGACCUCUACAGACAGCACAGGAGAAGGUAACAGGCAUUCAGACUUGUCACUGGGAUUAUUUGCCUGCCCUGAGGCAGCAUUUGGGGAAGAGGAGACCGUGAUGCUUGUUACUUCAUAAAUGUGACAAAAAGUUCAAUAAUGAUUAUAUCAGCCUGUGCAAUGGUGAUGGAGACCAACAUGUAUUCUGCAAGAGAAUUCAUGAAGAGGUACAGCACUGGGAAAAGCAGUCAAAAUUUCCUAAUUACUGAAAUGCUAAGAGAUUAAUGAGCUCACUGGGGAAGAGAGGCCUUCAGAGAAACCUGCAACAGAUGCUACAACACACAGAGAAAAUUACUGCAUUUAAAUCAAUCCCGCUAAGAAAGUAACAUGGAUAAACUUUACAAAGAGCCACACACUUCCUAUGAAUACUGACAUGCAAAAUAAGGUAACUCAUCCUGGAGAGCAUUCCCUGCAUAAGACAGAUGUUAGGGAUCACUGCACAUGCUCAAAUAUACCAGUUAAUUCAAAGUGAUCAACCAGCUUCCUCCUGAAAUGAAAACAAAUGUAAAAUUGAAAAAGACAUGCAAAACUGGAUUUAGAGCCUUUCUUCUGUGAAGAACCAUGGUGUUCACAAAUCAUUUUCACAUAGUCUUGUGUUCAUUCAAAUAUAUCUCCAGUUGUAUUUCUCAAGAUGGCUAAAACUUGGGAAUUAGCCAAAGCAGGCUGACUCUUUUCCACAGUGCAGCAAGCCAGGCAAUCCUAUAAAAAAAAAUCAGCGUUCUAUCACAGCUGAUUCUUAUAUACGCUAUGCAAGCAAAAUCUCACCUGUCAUGGUGUCUU
Molecule: long non-coding RNA, 4242 nt
Organism: Haemorhous mexicanus (house finch)
Lineage: Eukaryota; Metazoa; Chordata; Aves; Passeriformes; Fringillidae
Exons: 4
Source: RefSeq, a predicted model, not a curated record